RNAcentral lists this ribosomal RNA (473 nucleotides) under uncultured bacterium. RNAcentral's name for it is "bacterial SSU rRNA". It matches the Rfam family "Bacterial small subunit ribosomal RNA", at positions 29 to 506 of the family's 1533-position model. The record is from RNAcentral.
GUGAACGCUGGCGGCGUGUCUAAGGCAUGCAAGUCGAACGGUUCAGUUGAGUUUCCGCAAGGAAAUUUUGCUGGAUAGUGGCGAACGGGUGAGUAACACCUUGGUAACCUACCUCCGAGUGGGGUAUAACUCCGCGAAAGCGGAGCUAAUCCUCCAUGCGCUCUGUGAUUACUUAUCAUAGAGCAAAGGCCCGCAAGGGCCGCUCGGAGAGGGGCCUAGGUCCCAUCAGCUAGUUGGUAGGGUAAUGGCCUACCAAGGCUAUGACGGGUAGCCGGUGCGAGAGCACGGUCGGCCUCACUGGGACUGAGAUACUGCCCAGACACCUACGGGUGGCUGCAGUGAGGAAUAUUGCACAAUGGGGGGAACCCUGAUGCAGCAACGCCGCGUGGAGGAUGACGCAUUUCGGUGUGUAAACUCCUUUUAUAUGUCAAGAAAAUGACGGUAGCAUAUGAAUAAGCACCGGCUAACUCCGU